GAAGCGGCAACAGCUCAAAUUUGAAAUCUGACCCUCUGGGGUCCGAGUUGUAAUUUGCAGAGGGUGUUUCGGGCGCGGUGCCGGUUUAAGUCCUUUGGAACAGGGCGUCAUAGAGGGUGAGAACCCCGUAUGCGACCGGCCGCCAAACCCAUGUGAAACCCCUUCGACGAGUCGAGUUGUUUGGGAAUGCAGCUCAAAAUGGGUGGUAAAUUUCAUCUAAAGCUAAAUACCGGCCAGAGACCGAUAGCGCACAAGUAGAGUGAUCGAAAGAUGAAAAGCACUUUGGAAAGAGAGUCAAACAGCACGUGAAAUUGUUGAAAGGGAAGCGCUUGCGACCAGACCUGCUCGCGGGUGAUCAGCGGUGCUUUUCGCGCCGUGCACUCGCCCGCGAUCAGGCCAGCAUCGGUUCCGGCGGCCGGACAAAGGCUCGGAGAAUGUGGCCCCCUUCGGGGGGUGUUAUAGCUCCUUGCGCAACACGGUCAGCCGGGACCGAGGACCGCGCUCGGCU
Molecule: ribosomal RNA, 508 nt
Filed under: Psora crenata
Lineage: Eukaryota; Fungi; Ascomycota; Lecanoromycetes; Lecanorales; Psoraceae
Description: LSU rRNA
Rfam family: Eukaryotic large subunit ribosomal RNA
Source: RNAcentral